RNAcentral lists this ribosomal RNA (868 nucleotides) under Peziza sp. Its description in RNAcentral is "partial large subunit ribosomal RNA". It matches the Rfam family "Eukaryotic large subunit ribosomal RNA", at positions 76 to 958 of the family's 3401-position model. Lineage: Eukaryota; Fungi; Ascomycota; Pezizomycetes; Pezizales; Pezizaceae. The record is from RNAcentral.
UGCCUCAGUAACGGCGAGUGAAGCGGCAAAAGCUCAGAUUUGAAAUCUGGUAUCAUUUUGGUGCCCGAGUUGUAAUCUGUAGAGGAGUAUUCGAGUGUAGCUUUGGCUUAAGUUCCUUGGAACAGGGCGUCAUAGAGGGUGAGAACCCCGUUAACGGCCUCAGUCUUAUGCUCAUGUGAAUCUUCUUCAACGAGUCGAAUUGUUUGGGAAUGCAGUUCUAAAUGGGUGGUAAAUUCCAUCUAAAGCUAAAUACUGGCAAGAGACCGAUAGCGCACAAGUAGAGUGAUCGAAAGAUGAAAAGAACUCUGAACAGAGAGUUAAACAGUACGUGAAAUUGUUGAAAGGGAAGCACUUGCUACCAGACGCACUUGCAGUCGAUCAACCUCCAUUUUUUGGUGGUGCACUCGGUUGUAGGUGGGCCAGCAUCAGUUAUUAGCGGUGGGAUAAAGACUUUGGGAAUGUGGCUUCCCUCGGGGAGUGUUAUAGCCCUUGGUGUAAUACCAUCUGUUGUGACUGAGGACCGCGCUUUUGUGAGGAUGCUGGCAUAAUGGUCGUAAGUGACCCGUCUUGAAACACGGACCAAGGAGUCUAACAUCUAUGCGAGUGUUUGGGUGUUAAAACCCUUACGCGAAAUGAAAGUGAAUGGAGGUGGGAACCGCAAGGUGCACCAUCGACCGAUCCGGAUGUCUUCGGAAGGAUUUGAGUAGGAGCAUAGCUGUUGGGACCCGAAAGAUGGUGAACUAUGCCUGAAUAGGGUGAAGCCAGAGGAAACUCUGGUGGAGGCUCGCAGCGGUUCUGACGUGCAAAUCGAUCGUCAAAUUUGGGUAUAGGGGCGAAAGACUAAUCGAACCAUCUAGUAGCUGGUUCC